CUCGAUAAAGUUACGUAUACGCAUGGAUACUACAGAGAUCUCUUUUUUUUUCAAAAGUGUCUGAGGUCAUCUUCUGCAGCAUGACUUUAUUCACCGAUGGAUGUUGUGACCUUAAUCUUUUCACGCAAACCUCUCGCGCAUGCCGGGUGCGAUACCACACACGGCGCAAAGCGUAUUUUCUUUAUCCUCCCUAUCACAUUCACCCACCCGCUGAUCCAAAUGCAGACGGGCUUUAUUGAUUUUAGCGCCUCCAAGAUGCGGAAAGUCUGUCCAUUUGUGCGCGUGCGUACGCAUGUAUGUGUGUGUGUGUGUGUGUGUGUGUACACACAAAAGGAUUAAGGCCCUCGCUGAGCUCUUGAUACCAUCAGCCAUCAGGCACCCAAGUCCACUUCGUGCUUUCCCGGCUGCCGCAUUGUCUAUUCUGCUCCGCUAUGUGAAAAAUGUUGAAUAUCAACAAUGGCUUUCAGUGGUGUAUUGUUGAGUUUUUGUAUGAACUAAUCUUGCCUCAGUGAAAAGAGACCUAGGGCUUGGACAAAACGUCUAGAGCCACACAGCAUUCCGAGCCGGCUCUCUCCCCCCUUGAACACUGAGCGGAAAGCCCAGGCUGAGGGUAGGCGGGCGACGCUGCCUGGAGGAGAGCCGGCGAGGCGCGCCGAAAGGCCCCGCCGCUGGAGGCGAGCGCCAAGACGAACGACUUGUUGCCGGCCAAGGACACGAAAGCCUUUCUUCCACCAAAUAACCCGUAAAGGAAGUUCGUUUUCCUGCGAGGGAAUGCUCGGCGGCGAAGCAGCCCGACGUCCAAUCAGAGAACGGGAUUGCCGGCCUUGUCAGAACAACCGCCGUGACAUCAUCGACGGGGCGAGCGCGGAGCACGCACGCACGGAGGGAGCUUCUCCGCUCCGCGAGCCUCGUAACGGCGCGCCGGUGCUCUCGGAUCCCGAACCCUGCGGACUAAUCGGCGGCGCGUGCGGAGCGAGCCGCCCCCGACCCCUCCACCCGGUUCGGGCGAAAUGAUGCUCGGAGCUUGAUGUUGCAGCUGGAGAGAAGAUUCCACGGCGCUCGAAGGAGGGAAGGGGGGGGUGAAGAUUUCUGCCAAUCACGACGAGAGGAAGACAGCCGCCGCGCACGAAGCCGACGCAGAAUUAAACCAUCUGUUGAACAAAGGAUGAAGACAAUUUCAGCAGAGGGGGGCCGCCAUCUUGAGAUGCGCCCUCCCCCAACUCGGGACUGGCUUUCAAAAACGUUCUCGACACGGCGUCGUUUCGAUCUCGUUCCUCGUGGAAGCGAUGAGUCCAGCAAAAUGAAGCUUUCCACAAAUGAAGCUUUCCACAAAUGAAGCUUUGCCAAGGCUUUUCCCAAAGCGCUCGAAGCCUCACCGCGGUUGCGGAUGGGCCGGAUCGCAGCUGACUCGGGCGAGAGGCGGGACGCGCCCUUGCCCCGCCGCCAUCAUCAUCAUUCCUCGUUUUUCGUAUUUCGGGAAGCGAGCGACAAGUAGUGUAAAUGUCCGCUCUUGCAUUCGCUUUGAUUGGCUUUGAGUGUCUGUGAGUGGCGGGUCCAUCCCAGCCACUUUGCGGGUCCCCAGAUUGAGCGCUUCGUCGUGUGUGUGUGUGUGUGUGUUCUGGAAACCAGAGAGAGCCAAAUGAAUCCGUAAUUAACGGCGAUGAUGAACCCGCAACUCCCAAAGCGCUUCCACGCCCCAAAUUUCCCAGCCAUGAGGUGGCCAAGGCUAUCCCAAGGGGGUCCGCAAAAUAAAAACGUCAUCAGCCGUCGAGAUCCAUUGUUAGAUGGAAUAAAAGGUCAGCAACAUUAGU
This is a long non-coding RNA of Hippocampus zosterae (dwarf seahorse), 1811 nucleotides long. RefSeq lists it as uncharacterized. The transcript has 4 exons. Lineage: Eukaryota; Metazoa; Chordata; Actinopteri; Syngnathiformes; Syngnathidae. The record is from RefSeq and is a predicted model, not a curated record.